GGGACUCUUCAUGUCUGGUGUAUUAAAUUAAAACUCUGCAGCUUGGGACGCCUGGGUGGCUCAGUGGGUUAAGCCUCUGCCUUCGGCUCAGGUCAUGAUCUCAGGUUCCU
This is a long non-coding RNA of Mustela erminea (ermine), 110 nucleotides long. RefSeq lists it as uncharacterized. The record is from RefSeq and is a predicted model, not a curated record. NCBI's taxonomy places the organism in Eukaryota, Metazoa, Chordata, Mammalia, Carnivora, Mustelidae. The transcript has 3 exons.